GGGUGGUAAAUUUCAUCUAAAGCUAAAUAUUGGCCGGAGACCGAUAGCGCACAAGUAGAGUGAUCGAAAGGUUAAAAGCACCUUGAAAAGGGAGUUAAACAGCACGUGAAAUUGUUGAAAGGGAAGCGCUUGCGGCCAGACUCGAGCGCAGGGUUCAGCGGGUGCGUGUCACCCGUGCACUCCCUGUCGCCCGGGCCAGCAUCAGUUCUAACGGCCGGUCAAAGGCCCCCGGAAUGUGUCGUCUCUCGGGACGUCUUAUAGCCGGGGGUGCAAUGCGGCCCGUCGGGACUGAGGAACGCGCUUCGGCUCGGAUGCUGGCAUAAUGGCCGUAAGCGGC
RNAcentral lists this ribosomal RNA (337 nucleotides) under Arthroderma uncinatum. Its description in RNAcentral is "eukaryotic LSU rRNA". It matches the Rfam family "Eukaryotic large subunit ribosomal RNA", at positions 294 to 648 of the family's 3401-position model. The record is from RNAcentral. Lineage: Eukaryota; Fungi; Ascomycota; Eurotiomycetes; Onygenales; Arthrodermataceae.